AGCGAACGCUGGCGGCAGGCUUAACACAUGCAAGUCGAACGGGCAUAGCAAUAUGUCAGUGGCAGACGGGUGAGUAACGCGUGGGAACGUACCUUUUGGUUCGGAACAACACAGGGAAACUUGUGCUAAUACCGGAUAAGCCCUUACGGGGAAAGAUUUAUCGCCGAAAGAUCGGCCUGCGUCUGAUUAGCUAGUUGGUAGGGUAAUGGCCUACCAAGGCGACGAUCAGUAGCUGGUCUGAGAGGAUGAUCAGCCACAUUGGGACUGAGACACGGCCCAAACUCCUACGGGAGGCAGCAGUGGGGAAUAUUGGACAAUGGGCGAAAGCCUGAUCCAGCCAUGCCGCGUGAGUGAUGAAGGCCCUAGGGUUGUAAAGCUCUUUUGUGCGGGAAGAUAAUGACGGUACCGCAAGAAUAAGCCCCGGCUAACUUCGUG
RNAcentral lists this ribosomal RNA (435 nucleotides) under uncultured bacterium. RNAcentral describes it as "partial 16S ribosomal RNA". It matches the Rfam family "Bacterial small subunit ribosomal RNA", at positions 29 to 507 of the family's 1533-position model. The record is from RNAcentral.